AAGCGGGCGGCCCACGGCCCGGCAGCUGGCGACCACGCGGAACGUCUGGCCCUCCUCCAGGGUCACGAGCUCCACGGAGGAGAUGGGCAAAACUGGGGACGUAGAUACAGAGAGAUGGAGAAAACUGAUGGUUUAGAAAAGCUGAUUGCAGGUCGAGGACAAGUCGGAGCAGCACAGAUCCUGACAGAUUAAAGACGAGUAACAAAGGUAACUGCCCUAUAGAAAACCAGACACCAAGCAAGUAAAGAGCUACAAAUAUCUGAGUGAAAGCACCGCACGCUGCAUGGGACUGGUUCACGAUCACACCAGCGAGCGGCUCCUGCAGUGUUUUGCAUGAACAUAUUUGUGCAGUGGCUCCAACCAACUGGUUUGACAACUGGUGAAUGUGAUUCACUGCCAGUCACGAAGCCGAGUGCUCGUAAACACAGAGGUUUCACGCUCUCCAGUGCGAUUAUUAACGCAGGGAGUCCGGAUUACCAGCAGGAUUAACCAACAAAGCCGAGGGCACCGCCUGUGGAAACGCAGGCUUUACCAACAGAAACCCCACAACAACGUGACGUCACAGCGCUCCGACUGACAGUAACCUGUGAGCGUGACAGAGAAACGAGCAGCUCACGCUUCGUUUGUGGAUCAGUCGCUUUGUUCUGUUGUCACCAAAGUUGAAGCUGCCACGUUUCUUUUUUCAGUCUGGAGCUAAAUAUUUUCCUACUGCUCACGAAUCCUCUACUAAAAAACCCAACGACGACAAGAACAACAUGAUCCACCUUGACCUCUAGGGUCAUUAGACACUAACGUCCUUCAAAGCAAUCAUAGAUUCAGAUGAUUGUUUCCGUCAGAUCAAACUAAUUAGCGUUAAAAGUUCAGUGCGUUAGUCACCUUCAGUUAUUAAAAUCUAUUACGUGCUGUACAUUGACACGCUGCCAAAAAAGUAGAACGGAAAAAGAUCAACAAAAGCCCAAAGAAUCCAAAUGAGCAGCGCAUCGAUGAUAAAGAAAUAAAGGGGUUUGGUUGUAACAUCAGCAGGAAGUGGGGGCGGCGUGUUCUCAGUGUUCUCAGUGUUCUCCGUGUUCUGGGGGAACGUCUGUUGUUUUUAGGGUGGAGGUGGUUCCGUGCUGGAGGCCGUCGGUUGCGAUUUUGCGCGUUUGUGGGUUUGUGUGAGCGCUUGCGUGUCGGAACAGGUUCUCGACGGAGCUGUCGUCGCCGACGACUGCCAGCGAAAUGUCAUUAACGGCAGAUAUCAUCUCGUCGGGCUCUGACUCAAAGCGGAGCCGCUGAAACAACAGCGUUCCCACAGCUGGAGCGACGACGGCUCCUCUGAAACGGGUCCACGCUAAUCCUCUCACUGGGACGAGGAGCGCGAGAGCUGCCCCACGGAGUUCUAUCACAAAUUGAAUCUACCUCCACCGCUGUUGUGUCUAUUCGUCACACACCGCAGACAAAUUAAGAAGCUUUUAUUCCCUGAAUAAAACUAAUCCCUCAUUCAGUUUGAAUAAAUCUGAUGUGGAGAAGGAUUUAACGAGUCUCAGAUACGUGGUCACUGUGUGAAACGCAUGGAGACAUAUCAAAAUAAAACCUUAUUACGAGACCACCCUCUGCAUUCAGACAGUCUUUGUUAGGGAACAGUUUGCUUUGACUUCUUUGAGUGAGUGUGUGUGUGUGUAAGCAAACCUGCGUUCCAUCGUCCUCUAUGGACAUGACUGCGGUGUAAAGUUCACUAGAGCAUGUGUGGAUGUGAGGGUGAUGUAGGAGAAAAGGGGGGGGGUCUUACUCCACACGGUGAGCGUGAUGCGCCUCUCGAAGUUCCCGUUUGGGAAGGUGGAGAUGUGGCAGGCGUAGACGCCCUCGUCCGACACCUCCGUGCUGGGGAUGAGCAGCGCCGAGUCGUCUGUCGGGCUGCCGCUCUCGAACUUCACCCGGCCCGAGUACCGCCCGAACUCUGCCGACCCAAAAACGGAGACGGAGUCAGGGUACAGGUGGUUCCGCCGCUGUGAAGAGGCCGCUGGCGGCCGCGUCCUACCUGUGUGGCCGUCCUCGAAGUGGGCGGUGAUGAUCUGGUCCUUGCUGCCGUCUGGGAGCUCCUUGUACCAGCUGACCUGCACCACCUUCUCCCCCUCCUCCACCCGGUAGCGACAGGGGAGCCGGGUCUGGCUCUCCGCCAGGGAGCGCUGGGAGGUUUCGGGCUGAAGGGGCUCCACGAAGGUGCCCCGCACACAGACGGCUGAAAGCAC
Molecule: long non-coding RNA, 2228 nt
Organism: Betta splendens (Siamese fighting fish)
Lineage: Eukaryota; Metazoa; Chordata; Actinopteri; Anabantiformes; Osphronemidae
Exons: 2
Source: RefSeq, a predicted model, not a curated record